Molecule: ribosomal RNA, 21 nt
Filed under: Rhizoctonia solani
Lineage: Eukaryota; Fungi; Basidiomycota; Agaricomycetes; Cantharellales; Ceratobasidiaceae
Description: partial 18S ribosomal RNA
Source: RNAcentral
CCUGCGGAAGGAUCAUUAUUG